UUAAGUUCAGCGGGUAUUCCUACCUGAUCCGAGGUCAACCUUUUUAUUUGUCCGAAGACGGGGGUUGUUUUAACGGCUGGAGCGCGCUGCGCCUCCCUAGCGAGAUAGGAUUCUACUACGCUCGGAGUUGCAGCGAGCCCGCCACUUCAUUUCAGGGCCUCCGGCAAGCCGGAGGGGCCCCAACACCAAGCAGUGCUUGA
This 200-nucleotide unclassified non-coding RNA is filed under the name Sordariaceae sp. RNAcentral describes it as "partial internal transcribed spacer 2". Lineage: Eukaryota; Fungi; Ascomycota; Sordariomycetes; Sordariales; Sordariaceae. The record is from RNAcentral.